AGUCUGAUGUGUCACAACCCAACAGGGUGGGGCUUUAUCUCUUUUUCAAUUGAUUACAUGAAAUAAUUGUAUUAAAUAGAAAAUAUAAAGGCAUAAAUGCCUUGAUAUUUAUUUCUUAUCAGUCCUUAUAUUCCUUAGUAGAUCUCUAUUUAAAGCUCUAAAAUUAUUUAUCUUCUCCUCCCCUGAUACUGCUUUUCAGUCUAAACUCUCCAAAUUUUGUGAAUGUGAAGAAACUUACAAACUGAAUAUUUCUGAAAACAAUCUUCUAUUGUAAAAGUAAUAUGAUCCCAUUAAACAAAAUUUGUAAAAAAAAAAAGAAAAAAAGAAAGAAAGAAAGAAAAGAAAAAAAUCACCUACAACAUUAUUAGCCUAAUAUAAACUGAUACAAAUGAAUAUAAUACUGCUUUGGUAUUUUCUUUCCAUAUUUUCUUUUACAAAGCCUAGUCAUGAUUAUAUUAAGCACUUUACCUCAGGUAAAGCACUCAGCUUUCCCUUUGAUUCCAGCAUUUGGCAUCUGAGGGCCAUGAUCUUUGGUAGCCAUUUUUUUAAUACUUCAGGAGUUUAUAUGCCAGAAUCAGGCUGUCAAAUAGGUCCAUAUUAAUACCUGUUAAAUUCUGAAAGUUCAGGGACAAACUUUUAAUCUAUCCUUAGCAAAAAGUGAUAAACUUGGAGGUGCUAAGUAAAUAAAAUGUCUUAAUAAAAUUCCAUUACAGUGUUCACAUGUACCAUUCUGAUACUGUAUAUUUGCCCUUACAGUCUUGUCUGCAUAGCAGGAUGCUGUGCCAAAUCAUCUCAGCAAGAGGUCUCUACAUCACGAUGUAGGCAAAGAUAUUAGAGUGGGUGAAGAGAACCUCUUAUUACCUUUUCUGGGCCCAAUUUUCUCAUAAUGAACCUGCACAAGAUGAUCUCUAAGGUACUGCAUUUCCUGGACACGAUCUUAAUUUUCUUAAUACCUCCGCUGACAUUUCAAAUAGCG
Molecule: small RNA, 976 nt
Filed under: Pan troglodytes (chimpanzee)
Lineage: Eukaryota; Metazoa; Chordata; Mammalia; Primates; Hominidae
Description: retained intron
Source: RNAcentral